RNAcentral lists this microRNA (23 nucleotides) under Gyrodactylus salaris (gyrodactylosis fluke). RNAcentral describes it as "gsa-miR-9-3p". Its record names the gene gsa-miR-9-3p. The record is from miRBase by way of RNAcentral. Lineage: Eukaryota; Metazoa; Platyhelminthes; Monogenea; Gyrodactylidea; Gyrodactylidae.
AUAUCAGUUAGAAACUAAAGAAA